UACUGCCUACGGGACGCAGCAGUGGGGAAUAUUGGGCAAUGGGCGCAAGCCUUACCCAGCAAUACCGCGUGAGUGAAGAAGGUCUUCGGAUUGUAAAGCUCUUUGAUCAGGGACGAACAGAUGACGGUACCUGAAGAACAAGCCCCGGCUAACUACGUGCCAGCAGCCGCGGUAAAACGGAGGAUGCGAGCGUUAUCCGGAUUUAUUGGGUUUAAAGGGUGCGUAGGCGGUCCGGAAAGUCAGCGGUAAAAGCCCGGGGCUCAACCCCGGCGAGCCGUUGAAACUGUCGGACUAGAGACGGCGAG
Molecule: ribosomal RNA, 305 nt
Filed under: uncultured bacterium
Lineage: Bacteria
Description: bacterial SSU rRNA
Rfam family: Bacterial small subunit ribosomal RNA
Source: RNAcentral